GUGCCAGCAGCCGCGGUAAUACGGAGGGUGCAAGCGUUAUCCGGAUUUACUGGGUUUAAAGGGUGCGUAGGCGGGCCUGUAAGUCAGUGGUGAAAUCCUCCGACUCAAUCGGAGAACUGCCAUUGAUACUAUAGGCCUUGAAUACAGUUGAGGUGGGCGGAAUGUGUCGUGUAGCGGUGAAAUGCUUAGAUAUGACACAGAACACCGAUUGCGAAGGCAGCUCGCUAAACUGUGAUUGACGCUGAGGCACGAAAGCGUGGGGAUCAAACAGGAUUAGAAACCCUCGUAGUCC
RNAcentral lists this ribosomal RNA (292 nucleotides) under uncultured bacterium. RNAcentral describes it as "partial 16S ribosomal RNA". It matches the Rfam family "Bacterial small subunit ribosomal RNA", at positions 505 to 796 of the family's 1533-position model. The record is from RNAcentral.